RNAcentral lists this non-coding RNA (31 nucleotides) under Mus musculus (house mouse). The record is from RNAcentral. Lineage: Eukaryota; Metazoa; Chordata; Mammalia; Rodentia; Muridae.
AGCGGUCGCCAGCGCCAGCUUUAGCCUGUGG